Carassius gibelio (silver crucian carp) is the source of this 3283-nucleotide RNA transcript. It is a transcript of the gene named heterogeneous nuclear ribonucleoprotein C, with no coding region annotated. Lineage: Eukaryota; Metazoa; Chordata; Actinopteri; Cypriniformes; Cyprinidae. The transcript is spliced from 8 exons. The record is from RefSeq and is a predicted model, not a curated record.
GUCAUCAACACUUUCUUUCUGUGUUAAAUAUUGUGUGUGGCUCCUGUGUAUAAAUGAUUUAGCAAUAGUAUUGCCUUUUUUGGGUUGAUAAUCAAACUAGACCUUCCACAAAACAAUAAACUUGGCAUCAAAAAGUGUAAUAUGCUAAAUUUUACUAGCUUUCCCUUUGGAAGUAAACUAAUGUGUCUUCCUUCCUAUUGCUUCUCUAGUCGUCCUCCCAGCGCUAGUCAGCUGUUUGCCAGCAACGUCACAAAUAAGACAGACCUACGGUCACUAAACUCAAGGGUCUUCAUCGGGAACCUGAACACUAUGCUGGUUACCAAGGCUGAUGUUGAAGCCAUUUUUAGCAAAUACGGCAAGAUUGUUGGCUGCUCUGUGCACAAGGGUUAUGCCUUCGUCCAGUACGUCAACGAGAGGAACGCACGGACGGCUGUAGCAGGAGAAGACGGCCGGAUGAUUGCUGGACAGGUGCUCGAUAUUAACUUGGCAGGAGAGCCCAAACCUCACAGGUCAAAAACAACAAAGAGAUCAGCUGGAGAUAUGUACAGCAGUAGUUCUUCUUUCGAGCUUGAUUAUGAUUUCCAGAGAGAUUAUUAUGACAGAAUGUAUUCCUACCCUUCCCGUGUGCCCCCUCCACCACCACCUCCUCUCUCACGGGCUGUGAUCCCUACCAAACGUCCUCGGGUCAGUGUGAGUGGGGGAACCAGCCGCCGCACCAAGUCCAGCUUCUCCACUUCAUCCAAGAGCAGCGGGCGGACAUCUUCACAAACCCUGAAAGCAGAUGACCUCCAAAUUAUUAAGAGAGAGCUUUCUCAAAUCAAACACAAAGUUGACUAUCUUCUGGAGAGUCUGGACAGGAUGGAGAAAGACCACAUUAGGAAAUCUGAGGGAAAGAGUGUGAAGACAGAAGUGGGUGAGGCUUCCUCCCUUCAGUAUUCCAGCAAGAAAGACAGAGAGAGGGAAGAGCAAGAGAUAAAUGAUUCUGAGGAGGAGAGAGAUUUGUUGGAGGAGGAAGAGGUUAAAAGCCAGGGAGGAGAGAAUGAAGAAGAGGAAGAAGAGGGUAAGCAUGAAGAAGGGGAAGACGAUGGUGACAGCAUUAACGGCGACGACUCGUAGGUUGUUUUAAACACCAGAAAUAUGAUACACAUGCUCAAAAUUCAGCCCCUUCAGUUCAGGUUGAGGCCAGACUUUAAAAGAUUGUCUAUUAUGAUGUAGAUGCCUACAAUCUUAUAAUAACUGACACUACAGUUACAUCACUUUAACUGAUGGCAGUUUAUUUUUAAUGUUAGCAUGACAUCUUUUCAGGUUUUUGAAAUGUCCCUUAACCAUGAUGAAGACAAAAGGUCUGUUUUCAAACAACUGAAAUUAUUACAUUCGCCAGUUAUUCUUAAUCAAUCUGACUUGAACCUGAGAGGUUUUUAUAUUUCACUAGCAGAAAAUGUCCAUUAUGUUUUCUCAGAGUGAAACUGGCCUGAUGCCUGUGUGCCCCUAGUGUCUUAUGGGAUAUCAUUUUUUUCUGUGAACGAUAAAAUUUGUAUUUUAUAAGGGGGAAACUUGAGUGGCUUCUUUAUUAGAGCCGAGAAGCUUCCAGGAAACAUCUGUUUUUAUUUACUGCUCUUUUUUUAUUACCCGUUUUCGGAAUCAUUCUACAGGAAAAUUUCAAUAAAAUAUUAAAUAAAAAUUGUUUAGUUUUUUUAAGUUUUGCAAACAUAACAGUCAUGAAGGCUUGGAAACACUGGCAAAUCAUGCAUGUCAGUGAUUUAUUUAUUUUUUUAUAUUAGCAGCGAGGACAGAUUGUUUUUAGUUUCGUUUUUUUAAAUUUAGUUUUUCAAUUCACAUCACCAAUAACAUGAAUUUGAUAUUAGCUAUGAUUACUAUUUUACCAUCUCACUGCUCACUAUGAGCUUUAAAUGUCUGAUUUUCACUUAUUUUAACUUUCUUCUGCUUUGCUGGUGUCUGAUCACAUGGGGUAAAAAUGAAAGUGAAACAUAAUUCAGUCAUAUUUGGUUUAAUUCAAUGUUCAGCAUUUGAUGCUAGAAAUAUGGAAAGUACUACUACUUUUUUUUUUUUUAUUUAAACAUUGUAACUAAAAAGCAAUGAUCUCCCUUUAUCUAAGCCUAUUAUUUACAACUCUUUACUAAAAUGUAGUUUACUUACACAGGAACAAUUAAGUUCAAAUAAAAUAAUUAUUUCAUAUUGCACACUGGAUGUGAUACAAGUUUUAGACAAUCACAGGGGGAAAAUCAGAAAACCACCAAAACUGGUGUAACUUUCUGGGUCAUCAUAAACCCAGGUGUUAGCCCAAAGUUGUGUAGAAAUCUGAUCACCGAUCUCCAGUGUGAGAACAACACCAUUGCUGCCAUUACCAUUGGAGGUAGGCUUCCAAGCAAACACUGAGCACUGGGUUUUUCCGUUCUUCAAGAGACUGACUGCCAUCGUUGUUCCACCAUGACCAUGACCGUAAAAUUUGAAGUAAUAGGCUCCUUUCACUGGUGCUGUGAAAACACCUGCAAUGCACAUGUACAAAGCAGCCACAGUAAAUAUCAUAUGUGAAGAGGAUUCUGCAUUUGACAUGAUAUUCUCUUUACAGAACUUACCGGUAUUUGAGUCAUAGGCACCUCCAAUAUUGCUAAAUACUUUUUUGUAGACCAGAGUUAUCACAGAAUUAGAGGGCCCAGUGUGUCCAGUUUCAGAUUCCAAAAGUCCAGCAGAAAAGGCAACCUUUUUGGCUAAACAUUUGAAUAAACAAAUGGACUGGUGUGAAAUGUAUAAAAAAAUAAAAAUAAGUGUCAUUUAAAACAUUAAAAUGUACAACAAAGUGUGAAUUAUACUUGCCUUCAUUUUCUUUUUGGAGAAAUUCCAGCUUUUGUGAAUGUUCUUUCAGGGUUUUCAAAACUGUUCGGAAUGUACAUUGAUGUGAUAAUGUUACAAUGUUACGAAACAAAGAAUUGAAAACAAUUUAACUUGUAAUUUCUUUAAAUUAGUUCCUUUAAAUUAAUGACGUGUUAAAUUUUUAAAAUAAAAAUUACAACAACUUUUCCACUUUACCUUCAUUCUCACUCAAUACUGUGGCCAGUGUUUCUUCUAAUUUUUGUAUCCUUUCAUCCAUGUUUUUCAGUUUCUCGAGAUCCGCAAUAUUGUUUAAAUUUGCUGUAAAUUCUUCUGCAAGUGAACUCCCAGCACAGAGCAGCAGUACCAUUUGUAACACCGCCAUCGUCAGUUCUUUUUCAGGUUCUCAAAUUAGUCCUGUAAUUAAUCCAUAAUGUCCUCUACAAAUAAAUAA